Molecule: long non-coding RNA, 1751 nt
Organism: Rhinolophus ferrumequinum (greater horseshoe bat)
Lineage: Eukaryota; Metazoa; Chordata; Mammalia; Chiroptera; Rhinolophidae
Exons: 4
Source: RefSeq, a predicted model, not a curated record
GUUUUAAGGGGAAGAGUGAUCCGGUCUGCUUAAAGUUUGGAAAGAUACCUCUGGUUGCUGCAUGCAAAUUUGGAAGGAGGGAAGAGCAGAGAGAAGGCUGGAACAAGACCCAGGUUGCAGAAGACAAGGGACCAGACUCAAUAUCUACACAGGACUCAGAGAACCUGAGUGAUUUUCCCUGUGACAGAAGUUCCAAGGAAACCACCAUCAGGCAAAUAUAUACAGAAGGAAUGAAUCCCUGAGGAUAGAGGUGGGUGGGCAGGAGAGAAGUACAAGCAGUAAAUAUACUGACGUGCAUUCACGGAAUGGAACACGAUGCAGCAAUGAAAAAGAGACCACAUGAGAAAGUACCCAAAUCCGCAGGAGACCAAUGGGUCCCAAGUCCAGCUCCAGCCCUGCCCGUGAUAGCUCCCUGAAGAGUAUCAGAAGGAAGGCAGAAGGGAACGCGCAGGUCUAUCUCUCUGACUCACUGUUGAAGCGCAAUCGCAAACAUUAUCUUGCUUCGUAGGAACUCACGUGAUAAUAUUUGAAAGGAGCACUGGUGGGCUACCAGAUGCUUUCACAUUAAUAAUAAUCACAGCUAGCUUUUGUUGAUCACGUCCUGGGUGCAAGCACCAUGCUGAGACAUGUAUGUCCUUUAUUUCCUUUAAUCUUGACAAUGACCUGUGAGACGUGUGUUCUUCCGUAGCCUGCUUUUUUCCCCUCAGCGGUACGCUCUGGGCAUCUUUCCAUGUCAAUAAAUAUAGCUGGGGCGGUAAGUACUUGAUUCAAAGGCUGAGAAACUUAAACAGUCAGCAGCCACUGCCCAGGUGAAGAUCAAUAAUAGUUAACAUUUAUUGAGUGCGUUUAUUACACACCAGGCCCUGUGCUAAUUGUUUACCCUGAACAGUCUCCCAUUUGAUCCUUGAGGCAAUCUCAAGGUAGCUGCUAUUAUUAUUCAGAUGAGGAACCUGAAGCUCAAAGAGCUAAAGAAACCAUCCAAGGUCAGACAGCUGGUGUAAAUGGCAGAGUUAGGAUGCAAACCCAGGUCAGUCUGAUUCUGGUGCUGGGCUCACACACAGGAUAUUUGAAGGACCAGAUGGGAGCGGACACACAGGAAGAGCCCCGAGUGGAGAAAGGAGCCACUGACAAAAUUCUAAAGGCAGGCAGGAGGGUCGUGUGGGAGAGGCCAUGGAGGAGGCAAUUUCUGAAAAGCCACACAGUCUGCCGUGAAGGGGACAGGAAGGCUUCCUGGAGGUGGUCCCAUGGAGACUGUCUCCAGCCAAGAAAGGAGGUCUUUUAAUAACUUACAAGCUCCUGGGUGGUUUCACAUCAGACACACAUGGGUUCAAAUCCUCAUUGGGCCACUCUCUAGGUUCUUUUUAAAAACAGCAUGAUGGAAGUAUUAUUGACGUACAAUGAACUACCCCUAUUUAAAUCGCAUAAUUAGAUGAGUUUUGAGCCCAUGAGCCCAUCACCACAGUCAAGGGGAUGAACGUUUCCAUCACCCCAAAUUUCCUGGUGCCCAUUUAUCCUUACCUCCUUCUCCUUACCGCCCCGCACCCCAUUUCCAAGUAACCAUGGUCCCUAUAGAUUGCUUUCUUUCACUACGGAUUACUCUAAAAUUUCUGGAAUUCUAUAGAAACAGAAUCAUACAAUUUGUACUCUUUUUUUCUGGCUUCUUUCAUUGAGCAUAAUUAUUUUGAGAUUCAUUCACGUUGUUGCAUGUAUCAAUAAUUUGUUCCUUUUUAUUGCUAAGAUAUAUACUAUAC